GCCUACGGGGCGCAGCAGUAGGGAAUUUUCGUCAAUGGGCGCAAGCCUGAACGAGCAAUGCCGCGUGAACGAGGAAGGUCUUCGGAUCGUAAAGUUCUGUUGAAGGGGAAAAAGAGCGGAGAGAGGAAAUGCUUUCUGAUUGAUAUUACCCUUCGAGGAAGUCACGGCUAACUACGUGCCAGCAGCCGCGGUAACACGUAGGUGGCGAGCGUUAUCCGGAAUGAUUGGGCGUAAAGGGUGCGUAGGCGGCCUGCUAAGUCUGGAGUGAAAGGUACCGGCUCAACCGGUACAGGCUCUGGAAACUG
RNAcentral lists this ribosomal RNA (305 nucleotides) under uncultured bacterium. RNAcentral's name for it is "bacterial SSU rRNA". It matches the Rfam family "Bacterial small subunit ribosomal RNA", at positions 337 to 635 of the family's 1533-position model. The record is from RNAcentral.